UGGCGGCAGGCCUAACACAUGCAAGUCGAGCGGAAACGAGUUAUCUGAACCUUCGGGGAACGAUAACGGCGUCGAGCGGCGGACGGGUGAGUAAUGCCUAGGAAAUUGCCCUGAUGUGGGGGAUAACCAUUGGAAACGAUGGCUAAUACCGCAUGAUGCCUACGGGCCAAAGAGGGGGACCUUCGGGCCUCUCGCGUCAGGAUAUGCCUAGGUGGGAUUAGCUAGUUGGUGAGGUAAGGGCUCACCAAGGCGACGAUCCCUAGCUGGUCUGAGAGGAUGAUCAGCCACACUGGAACUGAGACACGGUCCAGACUCCUACGGGAGGCAGCAGUGGGGAAUAUUGCACAAUGGGCGCAAGCCUGAUGCAGCCAUGCCGCGUGUGUGAAGAAGGCCUUCGGGUUGUAAAGCACUUUCAGUCGUGAGGAAGGCGGCGUCGUUAAUAGCUGCAUUGUUUGACGUUAGCGACAGAAGAAGCACCGGCUAACUCC
RNAcentral lists this ribosomal RNA (488 nucleotides) under marine sediment bacterium ISA-6388. Its description in RNAcentral is "bacterial SSU rRNA". It matches the Rfam family "Bacterial small subunit ribosomal RNA", at positions 37 to 504 of the family's 1533-position model. The record is from RNAcentral.